GGAUUCACUUUUCUUUUAACACGUUAUCAGCACGAUCCCGAGAGCGAUUUGGUCGAGAGAAAAAGGGACGGCGCGACCGCUCCCCGGCCAUGGCCUCUCCUGCAGAGGUCAUGAUAGCGGCCACCGGCCGGCGUCGCCUCCCUCCGACCGUCGUUGUGGGUCACCUUUCCCCGCACGGCGCUCGCGCCCGGAAUAGCCAGGCUACGCCCGCCCGCGUCGAGGCCUCGCCCUCACACACUGCGCCACACCCCGCGCCAGGCUAUGGCCACGCGUCGCCUACGCCGAGGCUUCGCCCUUGCCCGCCCGGCGCCCAUCCGCCGCGCCUGGCCGGGCGCUGCGUCGCGCCUGGGGCCCAUCCACCCGGCCGCCGCCU
RNAcentral lists this ribosomal RNA (373 nucleotides) under Triticum aestivum (bread wheat). RNAcentral describes it as "partial small subunit ribosomal RNA". The record is from RNAcentral. Lineage: Eukaryota; Viridiplantae; Streptophyta; Magnoliopsida; Poales; Poaceae.